CCAGUUUGAUCCUGGCUCAGGACGAACGCUGGCGGCGUGCUUAACACAUGCAAGUCAAGGAGAAAGUCUCGACUUGUCGAGAUUAGUAAACUGGCGAACGGGUGAGUAACACGUAGGUAACCUGCCCUUAAGAUAAGGAUAACUUUGCUAACGCAAAGCUAAUACUUUAUAAUACUUUUUUAUUACAUGAUAAAAAAGUCAAAGUUGCCUUUUGGUAACGCUUAAGGAUGGACCUGCGCCCCAUUAGCUAGUUGGUAGGGUAAAGGCCUACCAAGGCGACGAUGGGUAUCCGGCCUGAGAGGGUGAUCGGCCACACUGGGACUGAGAUACGGCCCAGACUCCUACGUGAGGCAGCAGUGAGGAAUAUUGCGCAAUGGGUGAAAACCUGACGCAGCAACGCCGCGUGGAUGAUGAAGCUCUAAGGAGUGUAAAGUCCUGUUAGGAGGGAAGAACGGCUAUAACUAUAAUAUGGUUGUAGUAUGACGGUACCUCCAAAGAAAGCCCCGGCUAACUCCGUGCCAGCAGCCGCGGUAAUACGGGGGGGGCAAGCGUUGUCCGGAAUUAUUGGGCGUAAAGAGCGCGUAGGCGGAAUAAUAAGUCAGAAGUGAAAACCAUGAGCUUAACUUGUGGCCUGCUUUUGAAACUGUUAUUCUUGAGUACGGUAGAGGGAAGUGGAAUUCCUGGUGUAGCGGUGAAAUGCGUAGAUAUCAGGAAGAACACCGGUAGCGAAGGCGGCUUCCUGGCCCGUGACUGACGCUGAGGCGCGAAAGCGUGGGGAGCAAACAGGAUUAGAUACCCUGGUAGUCCACGCUGUAAACGAUGGGCACUAGGUGUUGGUCUGCCAAAGGUGGAUCAGUGCCGCAGCUAACGCAUUAAGUGCCCCGCCUGGGGAGUACGAUCGCAAGGUUGAAACUCAAAGGAAUUGACGGGGGCCCGCACAAGCGGUGGAGCAUGUGGUUUAAUUCGAUGCAACGCGAAGAACCUUACCUGGGCUUGAAGUGCAGCCGACAUCCGUCGAAAGGCGGCUUUCCUUCGGGACGGCUGUAGAGGUGCUGCAUGGCUGUCGUCAGCUCGUGCCGUGAGGUGUUGGGUUAAGUCCCGCAACGAGCGCAACCCUUGUCCUUAGUUGCCAUCAGUUAGGCUGGCUACUCUAAGGAGACUGCCCCGAAUAACGGGGAGGAAGGUGGGGAUGACGUCAAGUCCUCAUGGCCCUUACGUCCAGGGCUACACACGUGCUACAAUGGCCGGUACAGUGGGAAGCAAUAUCGCAAGGUGGAGCAAAUCCCUUAAAACCGGUCUCAGUUCGGAUUGCAGUCUGUAACUCGACUGCAUGAAGUCGGAAUCGCUAGUAAUCGUGGAUCAGCAUGCCACGGUGAAUACGUUCCCGGGCCUUGUACACACCGCCCGUCACGCCAUGGAAGUCGGUAGCACCCGUAGCCUGGCCUAACCUUUCG
RNAcentral lists this ribosomal RNA (1454 nucleotides) under metagenome. Its description in RNAcentral is "bacterial SSU rRNA". It matches the Rfam family "Bacterial small subunit ribosomal RNA". The record is from RNAcentral.